This 1268-nucleotide ribosomal RNA is filed under the name uncultured bacterium. Its description in RNAcentral is "partial 16S ribosomal RNA". It matches the Rfam family "Bacterial small subunit ribosomal RNA", at positions 60 to 1387 of the family's 1533-position model. The record is from RNAcentral.
AGUCGAACGGUAACAUUUCUAGCUUGCUAGAAGAUGACGAGUGGCGGACGGGUGAGUAAUGCUUGGGAACUUGCCUUUAGGUGGGGGAUAACAGUUGGAAACGACUGCUAAUACCGCAUAAUGUCUACGGACCAAAGGGGGCUUCGGCUCUCGCCUAGAGAGAGGCCCAAGUGAGAUUAGCUAGUUGGUGGGGUAAAGGCCUACCAAGGCAACGAUCUCUAGCUGUUCUGAGAGGAAGAUCAGCCACACUGGGACUGAGACACGGCCCAGACUCCUACGGGAGGCAGCAGUGGGGAAUAUUGCACAAUGGGGGAAACCCUGAUGCAGCCAUGCCGCGUGUGUGAAGAAGGCCUUCGGGUUGUAAAGCACUUUCAGUUGUGAGGAAAGGUUGGUAGUUAAUACCUGCCAGCUGUGACGUUAACAACAGAAGAAGCACCGGCUAACUCCGUGCCAGCAGCCGCGGUAAUACGGAGGGUGCGAGCGUUAAUCGGAAUUACUGGGCGUAAAGCGCACGCAGGCGGCUUGUUAAGCUAGAGGUGAAAGCCCCGCGCUCAACGUGGGAACUGCCUUUAGAACUGGCAGGCUAGAGUCUUGGAGAGGGGAGUGGAAUUCCAGGUGUAGCGGUGAAAUGCGUAGAUAUCUGGAGGAACAUCAGUGGCGAAGGCGGCUCCCUGGCCAAAGACUGACGCUCAUGUGCGAAAGUGUGGGUAGCGAACAGGAUUAGAUACCCUGGUAGUCCACACCGUAAACGCUGUCUACUAGCUGUUUGUGUAUUUAAUACGUGAGUAGCGAAGCUAACGCGCUAAGUAGACCGCCUGGGGAGUACGGCCGCAAGGUUAAAACUCAAUGAAUUGACGGGGGCCCGCACAAGCGGUGAGCAUGUGGUUUAAUUCGAUGCAACGCGAGAACCUUACCUACUCUUGACAUCCAGGAAAUUUUCAGAGAUGAUAGUGCCUUCGGGAUCCUGAGACAGUGCUGCAUGACUGUCGUCAGCUCGUGUCGUGAGAUGUGGGUAGUCCCGCAACGAGCGCAACCCUGUCCUAGUGCCAGCCUAGUGGCACUCUAAGGAGACUGGCGGUGACAACCGAAAAGGUUGAUGACGUCAAGUCUCCUGGGCCUUACGGUGGGCUACACAGGCUACAUGGCAGUGACAUGGGUUAAUCCCCCAAAAAUGUUUGAUCGGGAAGGGUUCUGCGAACUCCACGCCAGAUCCAAUCACAAUUAAUCCUCACACAUACGCGGAGAAAAGAAUUCUCGCCGCUGUGAUA